UGCUGGAGUUUCGAGGUUCUCACAGUCUGGAGGGGAACAGAUGCUGCCGGGAAGCUCAAAUCUGUACUGCCUGGUUCACAUGAAAACCCUGUAAUUUCCUGCAGUUUGUUCUGCGCUGUUCAGGAAUUGAAAUAAACAACACACAUCCCUGCUGACGAGAGCCGUGAAACCUCCAAGUUCCAUAGCCAAUACUGAAAAAAGAGCUUUAUUUCUGACUCAGUCUUCAGCUGAUAUAAAGUAGUGAAUCCACA
Numida meleagris (helmeted guineafowl) is the source of this 251-nucleotide long non-coding RNA. RefSeq lists it as uncharacterized. The transcript is spliced from 2 exons. Lineage: Eukaryota; Metazoa; Chordata; Aves; Galliformes; Numididae. The record is from RefSeq and is a predicted model, not a curated record.